Small nucleolar RNA from Lathyrus oleraceus (garden pea), 106 nucleotides. Lineage: Eukaryota; Viridiplantae; Streptophyta; Magnoliopsida; Fabales; Fabaceae. The record is from RefSeq and is a predicted model, not a curated record.
AGGACAUGAAAUGAGCACAACCUUAAUAAAUUCUUAAAACGCUCCCUAGCGUCAAAUAAUGAUUCCUCACCCUUUUGCAUAAAAUUAGAUAUCUCAUAUCUCACUU